UGCGUAGGCGGCUCUCUAAGUCGGAUGUGAAAACUCUGGGCUCAACCCAGAGCCUGCAUCUGAAACUGGAGGGCUAGGGUUCUGGAGGGGAAAGCGGAAUUCCUGGUGUAGCGGUGAAAUGCGUGGAUAUCAGGAGGAACACCGGUGGCGAAGGCGGCUUUCUGGACAGAUACCGACGCUGAGGCACGAAAGCUAGGGGAGCAAACA
RNAcentral lists this ribosomal RNA (207 nucleotides) under uncultured bacterium. RNAcentral's name for it is "partial 16S ribosomal RNA". It matches the Rfam family "Bacterial small subunit ribosomal RNA", at positions 568 to 774 of the family's 1533-position model. The record is from RNAcentral.